AAAGGGUAUUUUGGAAGGAAUUGCACACAUAAGUGUUCAGAAAACUGCACAGCACCUUGUAACCAUGUCACUGGAAUGUGCUACUGUUUGCCAGGCUUGACCGAUAACCCUUAUUGCAGAAAAGUAUCCAACAGUGUACAAACUUGUAAAACAAAUGAACAAACUGUCGCAUUGAUCAUCUCUGGUGGAUUAAAUGCCUUAUUGAUAUGUACUGUUGCCUUUCUGAUCAGGAUUGUAUACAUAAAGAAAAAAUGUGAAGCAAGGACAAAAUUAAAAGUUGCCGAGACAUGUCACAACAAAGAAGAAACUGAACCACAAUACCAAGAUAUAGGACCAAUGGACCAAUCUCUCUGCUAUCAAGAGCUUAAUA
Saccostrea cuccullata (small rock oyster) is the source of this 370-nucleotide long non-coding RNA. RefSeq lists it as uncharacterized. The record is from RefSeq and is a predicted model, not a curated record. The transcript is spliced from 3 exons. NCBI's taxonomy places the organism in Eukaryota, Metazoa, Mollusca, Bivalvia, Ostreida, Ostreidae.